RNAcentral lists this ribosomal RNA (416 nucleotides) under uncultured bacterium. Its description in RNAcentral is "bacterial SSU rRNA". It matches the Rfam family "Bacterial small subunit ribosomal RNA", at positions 92 to 507 of the family's 1533-position model. The record is from RNAcentral.
CGACCGGCGCACGGGUGAGUAACGCGUAUCCAACCUUCCGUUUACUCAGGGAUAGCCUUUCGAAAGAAAGAUUAAUACCUGAUGGUAUCUUAAUGACACAUGUAAUUAAGAUUAAAGAUUUAUCGGUAAACGAUGGGGAUGCGUUCCAUUAGGCAGUUGGCGGGUAACGGCCCACCAAACCGACGAUGGAUAGGGGUUCUGAGAGGAAGGUCCCCCACAUUGGUACUGAGACACGGACCGAACUCCUACGGGAGGCAGCAGUGAGGAAUAUUGGUCAAUGGGCGUAAGCCUGAACCAGCCAAGUCGCGUGAGGGAUGAAGGUUCUAUGGAUCGUAAACCUCUUUUAUAAGGGAAUAAAGUGUAGGACGUGUCCUAUUUUGUAUGUACCUUAUGAAUAAGGAUCGGCUAACUCCGUG